GACACGUAGUUAGCCUGUGGCUUAUUCGCCGGGUACCGUCACGAUCUUCCCCGGCAAAAGGGGUUUACGACCCAAGAGCCUUCUUCACGCCCACACGCGGCGUUGCUGCGAGCAGGCUUUCGCCCAUUGCGCAGAAUUCCCUG
Molecule: ribosomal RNA, 143 nt
Filed under: uncultured bacterium
Lineage: Bacteria
Description: partial 16S ribosomal RNA
Source: RNAcentral